This is a transfer RNA of 136 nucleotides. It matches the Rfam family "tRNA". From Rfam's summary of the family: Transfer RNA (tRNA) molecules are approximately 80 nucleotides in length. Their secondary structure includes four short double-helical elements and three loops (D, anti-codon, and T loops). Further hydrogen bonds mediate the characteristic L-shaped molecular structure. tRNAs have two regions of fundamental functional importance: the anti-codon, which is responsible for specific mRNA codon recognition, and the 3' end, to which the tRNAs corresponding amino acid is attached (by aminoacyl-tRNA synthetases). tRNAs cope with the degeneracy of the genetic code in two manners: having more than one tRNA (with a specific anti-codon) for a particular amino acid; and 'wobble' base-pairing, i.e. permitting non-standard base-pairing at the 3rd anti-codon position. The record is from Rfam.
GCGUUUGUGGUUUAGUGGUAAAAUCCAUCGGUAUGUCCAAUCAAAAACCUUCAAAUAACAAUAGCUAACAUGAAAACAGUUGCCAUAAGACAUCUUCAACUUCGAUGGGCCCCGGGUUCGAUUCCCGGCGAACGCA